This 397-nucleotide ribosomal RNA is filed under the name uncultured bacterium. RNAcentral describes it as "bacterial SSU rRNA". It matches the Rfam family "Bacterial small subunit ribosomal RNA", at positions 30 to 429 of the family's 1533-position model. The record is from RNAcentral.
AUUGAACGCUGGCGGCAUGCCUUACACAUGCAAGUCGAACGGCAGCGGGGACUUCGGUCCGCCGGCGAGUGGCGAACGGGUGAGUAACGUAUCGGAACGUACCUUUCAGUGGGGGAUAACGUAGCGAAAGUUACGCUAAUACCGCAUAUUCUGUGAGCAGGAAAGCAGGGGACCGCAAGGCCUUGCGCUCUUUGAGCGGCCGAUGUCAGAUUAGCUAGUUGGUGAGGUAAAGGCUUACCAAGGCGACGAUCUGUAGCGGGUCUGAGAGGAUGAUCCGCCACACUGGAACUGAGACACGGUCCAGACUCCUACGGGAGGCAGCAGUGGGGAAUUUUGGACAAUGGGCGCAAGCCUGAUCCAGCCAUGCCGCGUGAGUGAAGAAGGCCUCGGUUGUAAG